GUCCAGACUCCUACGGGAGGCAGCAGUGGGGAAUAUUGCACAAUGGGGGAAACCCUGAUGCAGCGACGCCGCGUGAGCGAUGAAGUAUUUCGGUAUGUAAAGCUCUAUCAGCAGGGAAGAAAAUGACGGUACCUGACUAAGAAGCCCCGGCUAACUACGUGCCAGCAGCCGCGGUAAUACGUAGGGGGCAAGCGUUAUCCGGAUUUACUGGGUGUAAAGGGAGCGUAGACGGCUGUGCAAGCCAGAUGUGAAAGCCCGGGGCUCAACCCCGGGACUGCAUUUGGAACUGUGUGGCUGGAGUGUCGGAGAGGCAGGCGGAAUUCCUAGUGUAGUGGUGAAAUGCGUAGAUAUUAGGAGGAACACCAGUGGCGAAGGCGGCCUGCUGGACGAUGACUGACGUUGAGGCUCGAAAGCGUGGGGAGCAAACAGGAUUAGAUACCCCCGUA
Molecule: ribosomal RNA, 446 nt
Filed under: uncultured bacterium
Lineage: Bacteria
Description: bacterial SSU rRNA
Rfam family: Bacterial small subunit ribosomal RNA
Source: RNAcentral